This is a non-coding RNA of Coturnix japonica (Japanese quail), 422 nucleotides long. NCBI's taxonomy places the organism in Eukaryota, Metazoa, Chordata, Aves, Galliformes, Phasianidae. The record is from RefSeq and is a predicted model, not a curated record.
UGGUAGAAACAACAAAAUUGCUUAACAAUGUACUUUUCCUGGGCCGUAAAGGGUGAACUCGCUACGAUUUCAGCCAUCCUGCUGGCUCGGCAAUUGUUGAGAUUCAGCCGGUUUUUGCAUGCCAUAGGGUCUACUAGCAAGUCCAGGUGCUGCUAAAAGAUAGUAUGAGAGCUGCAGGCUGGGGGCUUUUACCAUUCUGGGCUUUAGCAGCUGAAGCUGCCACCUUCUCCCCAUGGACAGAGCCAGAGUAUUCUCAGGUGAUGUUUUCUUCUCAUCCAAAUGGUUUCCCAUGGGUAAUUCAUGCAAAACCAGAAUCCAGCUGCUGGACUAUUUCCCCAUUUCAGGCAAAACUCUGAUAAUCCACAGUACUAUAGCUUUCAUGUGCUGGGGCACCAUGCCAGUGUUGCAACUGCUGCAGAAGG